UGCAAGUUUCUGCUCUCACUUCUGGCAAUAAAAAUAGUUACUUGAUAUAGUUGGGGAAAAAAGAAAGUUUGUGAGCCAUUUUGUUUAAGCUACCCUCAUAGCUAUUUUCCUCGUCAAGUUACUUUCUAAGACUUCAAGAUGGAAAAUUCAACUUUCCUCUGCUAUUAUUGUGAUAAAGAUUUUUUUUUUUUUCAAUGGAUAUGACGACAAUGUCACUCUACCCAUGUCUGAACUCUGAAUAAGUUGGAAGUUUUGACCUCAAAUAAGUUAUCUCAAUAUCUUAAUAUUUGGAUUUGAACAACCAGCUCAAAGAUAGCCUGACAUAAGUUGGAAGUUCACAGUUCUGCUUCAAAGUAUGACCUUAUGUGGAAUCAUAAAUCUGAAUGACCAUUGAACUAGAAGUUCAUCAUUACCUCUUAAGAAAACGUUUUUGGAUUGCCUCUAUAUUUUAAUCACUUAAAGCUGUUUAUAAUCUCUUUUAAUUGGUGUUUAUGAGAUCAUCAUUAGGAUUUCAGCUAAUGAUUUCACAUGCUUACUGAUGGCAAAUUGCUCGUUAGUUUUCCUUUUCUGAGAAAAAAUCAUUUUGAAGGCUACCUUUUAGCUACAGAAUAAACUUGAAUGAAUUUCUUUUGUUUUGUAUUGUAUCGAACUUCAGCUUUCAGCUGAAUGAUCCAAUAGCCAUCAUGAACACCUACUUGGUUCUUUGGCCUAGCUAUCUGACAUUUUCUUAGUGGUUAAUAGAUUUAUUUUGCACUAAUUUUAUUUUUUAGGGAGCCACCAUUGUAGAUCAACGUGUUUGCAUAACACACUGGGGAACUUUUGUGGAUGAAUUUGAUGCUUGGGGAAGUUCAUCAAAGGAUGAAGGAAACACCAGCUCAGCGGUAAUAUCUUUACUUGUGGUAGCAUGCUGAGUGCUCUUUUUACUAUCCCAUUUAUUUUGUAUAUAAGUUUACAAAUUCUUAAGCUCAUCGGUUUAAGUUGAGUACGGAAAAAUUUAUCUAAUCUCAAAAUUUGAAAUAUUUCUUCAAAAACUCAAUAAGAGGUAAAGGAUAGCCAUUUCCUCUUGCAACCUACUGGACAGAAAACCAAAAGUACAGUAGUAUGUUUUGGAUGUAUCAAUACACGAUACAUCCAGAGUUCAACAAGCAUGUGUUGGUCAAUGUCCAGUUAAAACAUAUCUGCAAGUUACUAAGACAAUACAAUAGAUAUUAAUUGCCAAUAUAAGCAACCCAACUGGGUGAUUUAAUAAAAAACUUGAUGUUUAUCAUACAAGUGAAGGGGUUGAAGUGCAUGUCAAUGAUGCAACCAAGCCAAAUCACAUCUUUAUAUGGUCAUGAUACCCUUGUAUCUAAGAAGUCCUAAAUUGGGUGCGUAGUUUUGGAAUUGGAUGCCACCAUGCUGUACAGCUUGCUCUUCCUUGGAUGCACUAUCUAUUAUUUUUAAUACUGAUUGUGAACAUUGCACCCUGCUUAAUAAUUGUUCAUAGUAAGUGAAAUGACACGGUACCUAAUAGUUUUCUAUUAGUGUAUCUUACCUUUUGAACCAACUCUUCUACAUUCUUGGCAGGGAAUUCCCUUCAACCAGUUUGUUUCUACCCCUGGAGAAGCAGUAACUGUUGCUCAGGAAGUUGUUAAAACAAUGUUAUCCAAGGGAUACAUUUUGGGAAAAGAUGCAAUGGUCAAGGCCAAAGCUUUUGACGAAUCUCAUCAAGUCUUAGCUACCGCAGCUGCCAAGGUGUCCGAGCUAAGCAAUAGAAUCGGGCUCACUGACAAGAUUUAUGCAGGAAUGGAAACUGUGAAAUGCGUGGAUGAGAAGUACCAUGUUUCAGAAUUCACCAAAUCAGCUGCAUCAGUUACUGGGACAGCAGCUGUUUCUGCAGCAACUUUUACAGGGAAAACAGCUGUAGCAGCUGCUAAUGCUGUAGUCAACAGCACCUACUUUGCUAAGGGAGCUCUUUGGGUUUCAGGUGUUUUGACACAGGCAGCCGAAGCUGCAGCUGAUAUGGGCAAGAAGGCUAGCACAUGAGUGAAGUUUUUCUUUCGAACAACAGUAAGGGUCUUUUACUUUUGUUCUUGUAUAAAAAUAAAUAUUAGUCAUUUUAGAUGCAGCUACUCAUAGACAGAUUACCUUCUAAUGCUUUAAUGAAUAGCAGCUACUAUGCUAAGGGAGCACUUUGUGUUUUUGGCUUUUGACAUGUGAAGCUUAUAAGUUGUUUUUUAGCUACUGGAGUUCAAUGCCCAGGAUUGUGCACAUUUUUGGACUUUAGGCUCAAGAUACAUCUUAUGGAUCAUUGAUGUUUAUACCUGACAUUUUCAGCUCUUGGUUUUUUUUUUUAAUUAUGGUGGUUGAUAUCACAAUUCUUCAACUGCAUGACUUAGAUGGUCUGCCGUUAAUACAUCUUAUUCACUGAAAGUCAUAACAUGCAUUGCAACUUUCUUAGAGGUUGUUUCUUUGGUGGGUUACCUUUAUGAUGUUCUAACAUGUGUAAAUGGAAACUAAGCGAUAGGAUGCAGAUCGAUUCUCUUGGAUUCUUAUUGUUGGCAGCUAUGUGAUGGUGCAUUUUACAGCUUGCUGGUUCUGAAUACAGUUCCUUGACAAAUAAAUUGUCAAAUCUCUUGAAUAAUUGACCUUUGUUGCUAUAUGCUUGGAGUUACAUUUAUUUAUAGGGAUCAUAAGCUGGGCAGUUACUAUUCCUGAUGUGUUGGAUAGAUUGUGUUAUGAUGCAAUCUGGUUCCUUUCCGACGACCACAAAGCUGAACCAUCAUUUAUGCUGGUCGGUCAGCAAAAGUUUGAGCAUUCGACGCCCAGGACUGGUCUUGCAAGGCAAGUAUACCGGAAAAUAAGUUUCUCUAUACAAUUGACUGCCACUAACAUCCAAGAAUGCUAGAUCUUUGUAUUGCGACCGUCUUAUGAGCACAUCGGAGGAGGGUUGGCUACUUGACUUCUUGACAAAUGUGAAUGAUAAUGCGUACUUUUCAAGUCUUUGGUCACACAUUAACUCAUUUCUAAUCUUUCUUAUCGCGUUUUUUUGUCGGCUAGCCACUUAAUGAUAUAUUUCUUUACCCUACGAAAAUGCAGACCCACUAUGUCUCUCUUUAGUCCGCACAGCCUAAUAGCUCCUUUAAUCCGCCAAAAAUUGUGCCUCAAGAAGCAACCUUUAUCUUCUACCAUCCAUCUUUAAUGCCUCGUUUUGCGAAACUUGUCCUAAAAGCAUGAAUCAUCUUCCAAAAUGCCACCUAUAAAUACUUUCCGUAAUUAAGCUAUACAUUUUGCAUCACCUUAACCACUUUCCGAACUCAAUAUUUGAAUGAUUAUGGAUAGAAAAAUCUUAGGCAAGGGCCCUUGUUUCUCACAAUAAGACAAGCAGAACCAUGGCCAGUGUUGUGAUUUUGUUGUUGGACUGUAAAGGAACUUGUGAACUUGGAUUCAGCAACGGGAUUUGAAAUGAGAUGAUGAGUAGGUAUAGACAUUGUUUGGUAAUGUAGCUGCGGGUGAGGUUCACUCGCAACCACAUAUAUCAGUGUUUGGUAAUAGAAAAAAAUAGUGAGUUUUCUUGGUAGGACCCACCAAUUUUCGGUGUCGUGCCACAGGUUUGGAGAAGCAGCAUUUGAUGCUUCUCGUGCUGAUUUUUCAAUGAACAGUGGAGCCAUGCUCCACUGCCGCACUGUUCACUAAAGUGAACAGUUUUUUUUUUUAAAAAAAACCAGUGUAGUUAAUUGAUUUCACUUGAACUGUUCACGUGAACGUGAACGUGAACAACAAUUUUUUUUUGUUUUUUUAAAAAAUUAGUUUAAGGUGAAUUAAAUUUACUCGUACUGUAAUCUCAAUUUUAUUCCUGAUAAUACUUUACCUAAUUUUAUUGCACGCUCAAAAAAUCAUGAAAACUGUAGUUCUUGUCGAAUGAAUUUUGUACGUAAUGAAAUUGUAAAUUUUUUUAAAAAAAAUUGAGUUUUACUCGAAAAACUAGUAUUUAAUAUUAUUUAAUAACACUACAUAAAUUAGAAGGAUAUCGCAUGAUGACAUAGCAUUUGUGGAAUUUGAUCGCAAUUCCAAUUAUGUUCUUGCCGGGUCCGACCCAGUUAAAAAAAAUUCAGUUUUUAUUUUUAUUUUAAUUGUGUUUUAUUCCAAAAAAUAGAAGGAUAUCGCUUGAUGACAUAACAAAAAAUUCAAUUUUUGUUGUUGCGUGCUUAAGAAACCAUGAAAAAUAUAGUCAUUGUUGGAUAGAUUUCGUAUGUGAUGACUUUGCAUAUAGUUUAAUGGAAUAAUAAUCAAAUUUUGAUAUCAAUAUUAUUUAUUUCAUGAUGUAAUAAUAGUAGUUAAAUCUACAAUAUUUAAAUUAAAAAUGUUUUUUAAUUAUUUUAUAACCUUAAUUUGAAAAGCAUUUUUUUAACCAAACAUUAAACUACUUUUUGUCCAACCUCAAUUUCAACCACAGUUUUAACCAAACAUAUAUUUUUCCAAACCAACCUCAACUAAAAGUAUUUUUUUAUAAAACAACUUUUUUAAAACCACAACCAUAACAGCAAUCGCAAUACCAAACACACUUAUAGAAGCUGUUUGGAUCCCUUCGCCUGAUUUAUGUUGUUCUAUUCAUGUGUUUUUUUAUAUGAAAUCUCCAUUCAUUAAUUUGGCAUUGCAUGAAUAUAAUUAUAAUAUACCUUGGAGUUGUUUGAGAGUGUGAUAACAAUUGUUUAAGAGUGUGAUGACGAUUGUUUUUCAACGUAUUUUUUACUCGAGAAUACAUCAAAAUAAUAUAUUUUUUUAUUUUAAAAAAAUUAUAUUUGUUAUCAAAACAUCAAAAUAUCUAAAAAUAUAUAAAAAAAUUAAUUUUCAACAAAAAAAAAAUUCAAACUUUAACCAACUCAUUUCAUAACGCAAUACUAAACAGGAAAUUAGUAACUCAUGGGAUCUGGCGCCGGAGGCCAUGCACCGAGUUGCCGACCUCCGCAAAUGAUUUGGGAAGAAUUUUGGAAUAGAAUCUUUGAUGUCAUGAGUCCAUUUCUGUUUCAAUUUUUUGUGGUCUCCGCAGCUUGGAUAAUCAGGUCACCUUUUAGAAGAUGAGAGCAUAUCGAGUGAAAAAGACACACUAUGAUGAUCCCAUGAAAUAUUUUGUGCAGUAUUUGACGCAGCAUGUUUUACUUGGAUGCACAUUUUAUUCCAGCACCCUUCGUCUUCACUAAGGUUGAGCCUGUUGUGUCUCUCAGCUGGUUGCUGCAAUCUUUUUUUUUUUUUUUAGUUUAACGGGGGUGUCCGGGCUAGCUUGCGCGCACCUCGACUAAUCUCACGGGCUCUGAAGUUAACGACCAUGUAAGCCUCCAGUAGCCAUCAUAUGAGCAACCACAGGACUCGAACCUGAGACCACAGAGGGAGCAAACAUCUUGGUCCCAAGCUCUUACCACUGGCCACCACACCUAGAUGGUUGGUUGCUGCAAUCUUGAAAUGCUUUGUUGGAACCGUUUUCAACGAACUUCAGACUUCAGACCAUUGCUUAAAGCUGCUUUUCAGUGAAGCUGUAAUAUUGAUUAUGCGUAGAGUGUCGCAUUGCUGCUGUAGCUGAGUCUUCACUAAGGUUGUAGUUUUAUUUCAUAAGCCCAAAACAUGUAAAAUAACUUGUUUUAAAUUUGGACUAUAAUCUCUUUAUAUGUUAUUAAAGGAUUAAUGAAGAUAUAUAUGAAACAAUUUAUAAAACAUGCGUGAUAUUAUUAACCAUAUGUCAUUAUAAAUGCAGACGAGCAAUGGCCUAAUAUUGAAAAGUAAAAUGAAUUAAAAAAUUAAAAAUCUUUAUAUUAAUUUAUCUCAACAAUUUAAACAUAUCUUAAUUAAUUUAAAGCAAUUACAAGUGCAUGCAAGUUAGUUAAUUACUGAAAUAAGGUGUUAAUUAACAUAAAAACAAAUUAUGGGUUUUAUUUAAAUAAAUACUAAUAAUUAAGAAAAUAUUUAUUCAUGAAACAAAAUAAAUUAAAUUUUUAGAUUAAAAUAUAUAAUAAUCUACACUAAAAAUAUUUGAUAAGAUUUACACUUACAAUAUAGCUAAAACAUGCGGGGAAAACACUAUAUAGCCUUCCUCACAUGUUAAUGUAAAUUGCUACAAUGCUUUUAUUUUAUUUUAUUUUUUUUUUAUUUUCCCCAAUUUUUAUUCUUUUUUUUCAUUUUUUUUUGUUUUUUUCUAAAAUUAUUUUUGUCAAUUUUAUUUUUUUAAUAUUGAGUUGGUUAAGAAUUUAGCUUUGUAAUUCUUUUCCUUUAAAACAUUGUGAAUUGCUACAGCGUUUCCCCACAUAGUUUUUUUUGUUAUGAUUUUUUUUUUAAAUUAUUUGUCGAUUUUAUUUUUUUAAUAUUGAGUUAGUUGAGAAUUACAGUUAUAGCUUUUUCUUUAAAACACUAUGAAUUGCUACAACGUUUCCUCACAUAGGUUUUUUUGUUAUGAUUUUUUUCAAAAUUAUUUGUCGAUUUUAUUAUUUUAAUAUUGAGUUAGUUGAGAAUUACAGCUGUAGCUUUUCUCACAAAACACUAUGCAUUGCUAAAGUGUUUCCCCACAUGAUUUUUUUUUUUGUUUUUUAUGAUUUUUUUCAAAAUUAUAUUUGUUGAUUUUAUUUUUAAUUAUUAAACUAAUUGAGAAUUACAAUUACAAUAUGUGGGGAAAACACUGUAGCUUUCCUUACAAAUUACUGUGGAUUGCUACAGUGUUUCCCCAUAAGGUUUUUUUUGUUAAGGUUUUUUCCCAAAUUGUCUUUGUCGAUUUUAUUUUUUUAAUAUUGAGCUGGUCGAGAAUUACAAUUACAAGAAAUUACAAGUAGGGCUAAAUCAUGUGGGAGAAAGCAUUAUAGUUUUCCUCACAAAACACUAUGGAUUGCUAUAGUGUUUCCCUACAUGUUUUUUUUUCCUGUUUUUUUUAGUUUUUUUUUGUUAUGAUUUUUUUCAAAAUUAUAUUUGUCGAUUUUAUUUUUUUAAUAUUAAGCCGGUUGAGAAUUACAAUUACAAGUAAGGCUAAAUUAUGUGGGGAAAAGCAUUGUAGCUUUCCUCAUAAAACAUUGUGGAUUGUUAUAGUGUUUCCCCACAAGGUUUUUUUUUCCUUUUUUUGUGUUUUUUUUUUGUUAUCAUUUUUUUCAAAAUUAUCUUUGUCAAUUUUAUUAUUUUAAUAUUGAGCUGGUUAUAAUUUAGCUUUGUAAUUAAAAAAAAAACAUUAUGGAUUGCUACAAUGUUUCCCCCACAUGGUUUUUUUGUUAUGGUUUUUUCCAAAACUGUCUUUGUCGAGAUUAUUUUUUUAAUAUUGAGCUGGUCGAGAAUUACAAUUACAAGUAAGGCUAAAUCAUGUGGGGAAAACACUGUAGCUUUCCUCACAAAACACUGUGAAUUGCUAUAGUGUUUCUCCACACGGUUUUUUUUCCUGUUUUUUUAUGUUUUCUUUUUUGUUAUGAGUUUUUUCAAAAUUAUCUUUGUCGAUUUUUUUUUUAAUAUUGAACUGGUUGAGAAUUUAGCUAUAUAAUUUUAUUUUCUUUAAAACAUUGUGGAUUGCUACAGUGUUUCCCCACAUGGUUUGUUUUUGUUUUUGUUUAUGUUUUUUUUUGUAAAAUUAUCUUUGUUGAUUUUAUUUUCUUAAUAUUAAGCUGGUUGUUACAAUUACAAUAUGUGGAAAAGCACUGUAUAUUUCCUCACAAAUUACUAUGAAUUGCUACAGUGUUUUCCCCAUAAAGUUUUUUUUUUGUUUUUUUAAUGUUUUUUUUUCUAAAAUUGUCUUUGUCAAUUUUAUUUUUUUAAUAUGAAGCUGGUUGAGAAUUACAAUUACAACUAAGGCUAAAUCAUAUGGGAAAAGCAAGUUUUUCUCACAAACACUGUGGAUUGUUAUAGUAUUUCACCACAAGGUUUUUUUUUUCCCUUUUUUUGUGUUUUCUUUUUUGAUAUCAUUUUUUCCAAAAUUAUCUUUGUCAAUUUUAUUAUUAUUUUUUGAGGUGGUUAUAAUUUAGCUUUGUAAUUAUUUUUUUAAAAAAAUAUUAUGGAUUGCUACAGUGUUUCCCUACAAGGUUUUUUUUUGUUAAGGUUUUUCCAAAAUUAUCUUUGUCGAUUUUAUUUUUUUAAUAUUGAACUAGUUGAGAAUUACAAUUACAAGUAAUGCUAAAUCAUGUGGGGAAAGCAUUGUAGCUUUCCUCACAAAACACUGUGGAUUGCUAUAGUAUUUCGCCACACGGUUUUUUUCCUAUUUUUUCUUUUGUUUUUUUUUUGUUAUGAUUUUUUAAAAAAUUAUCUUUGUCGAUUUUAUUUUUUAAAUUGAGCUGGUUGAGAAUUUAGCUUUAUAAUUUUUUUUCUUUAAAACAUUGUGGAUUGCUACAGUGUUUCACCACAUGGUUUUUUUUGUUUUUGUUUUUUUAUGAUUUUUUUCAAAAUUAUCUUUGUUGAUUUUAUUUUUUAAUAUUAAGCUGCUUGUUACAAUUAUAAUAUUUGGGGAAAGCAGUGUAGCUUUCCACACAAAUUACUAUAGAUUGCUACAGUGGUUUCACCACAUGUUUUUUUUUUCUAAAAUUGUGUUUGUCGAUUUUUUUUUAAUAUUGAGGUUGUCGAGAAUUACAAUUACAAUAAAGUUAAAUCAUGUGGAGAAAGCACUAUAACUUUCCUCACAAAACAUUGUUGAUUGCUAUAGUGUCUCCCCACAAUAUUUUUUUUUCUUAUGAUUUUUUCAAAAUUAUCUUUGCCAAUUUUAUGUUUUUAAUAUUGAGCUGGUUGAGAAUUACAAUGACAAGUAAUUACAAGUAAGGCUAAAUCAUGUGGUGAAGCACUGUAGCUUUCCACAAAAAACAUUGUGUAUUACUACAGUGUUUCCAACAUGGUUUUUUUUUCUAUUUUUUUGUGUUUUUUUUGUUAUGAAUUGUUUCAAAAUUAUCUUUAUCGAUUUUAUUUUCUUAAUAUUGAGUUGGGUGAGAAUUUAGCUUUGUAAUUUUUUUAUUUAAAACAUUGUGGAUUGUUGUAGUGUUCCCCCAUAUUGUUUUUUUAUUAUAAUUUUUUCCAAAAUUAUCUUUGUCAGUUUUAUUUUCUUAAUAUUGAGUUGGUUGAGAAUUACAAUUACAAUAAUGCUAAAUCAUGUGGGAAAAGCACUGUAGCUUUCCUCACAAAACACUGUGGAUUGCUAUAGUGUUUCUCCACAUGGUUUUUUUUCCUGUUUUUUUUUUGUUUUCUUUUUUGUUAUGAUUUUUUUAAAAAUUAUCUGUCGAUUUUAUUUUUUUAAUAUUGAGCUGGUUGAGAAUUUAGCUUUAUAAUUUUUUCUUUAAAACAUUGUGGAAUGCUACAAUGUUUCCUCACAUAGUUUUUUUUUUUUGUUUUUUAUGCUUUUUUUAAAAAUUAUCUUUUUCAAUUUUAUUUUUUAAUAUUAAGCUGCUUGUUACAAUUACAAUAUGUGGGGAAAGCAGUGUAACUUUCCUCACAAAUUACUAUGGAUUGCUACAGUGUUUUCACCAUACGGUUUUUUUUAUGUUUUUUUUACUAAAAUUGUCUUUGUUGAUUUAUUUUUUUAAUAUUAAGCUAGUUGAGAAUUACAAUUACAAGAAAAGCUAAAUCAUAUGAGGAAAGCAUUGUAGCUUUUCCCACAAAACAAUGUGGAUUGCUAUAGUGUUACCUCACAUGGUUUUUUUCCUUUUUUUGUGUUUUCUUUUUUGUGAAGAUUUUUUCCACAAUAAUCUUUGUCGAUUUUAUUAUUUUAAUAUUGAGCUGGUUAGAAUUUAGCUUUGUAAUUUCUUUUCUUUAAAACAUUAUGAAUUGCUACAGUGUUUCCCCACAUGGUUUUUUUUAUGUUUUUUUUUCUAAAAUUAUCUUUGUCAAUUUUAGUUUUUUCAAUAUUGAGUUUUUUGAGAAUUACAAUUACAAUAAAGCUAAAUCAUGUGGAGAAAGUACUGUAGCUUUCCUCACAAAACACUGUGGAUUGCUACAGUGUCUCCCACAUAGUUUUUUUUUUCUUAUGAUUUUUUCAAAAUUAUCUUUGUCGAUUUUAUGUUUUUAAUAUUGAGGUGGUUGAGAAUUAUAAUUACAAGUAAUUACAAUUAAAGCUAAAUCAUGUGGGGAAGCACUGUAGCUUUCCUCAAAAACACUGUGGAUUGCGACAGUGUUUCCAACUUAGUUUUUUUUUUUUUCUGUUUUUUUGUUAUGAUUUUUUUCAAAAUUAUCUUUGUCAAUUUUAUUUUUUUAAUAUUGAGCUGGGUGAGAAUUUAGCUUUGUAAUUUGUUUUUCUUUAAAACACUGUGAUUGUUGUAGUGUUCCCCCACAUUGUUUUUUUUUUUGUUUUUUUAUUAUGAUUUUUUUCAAAAUUAUCUUUGUCGAUUUUAUUUUUUUAAUAUUGAGUUGAUUGAGAAUUACAAUUAUAAUAAGACUAAAUCAUGUGGGGAUAGCAUUGUCGCUUUCCUCACAAAACACUAUGGAUUGCUACAUGCUUCCCUACAUGGUUUUUUUUUUUAUGAUUUUUUUCAAAAUUUUCUUUGUCGAUUUUUUUUUAAUAUUGAGCUGGUAAAUAAUUUAUCUUUGUAAUUUUUUUUAUUAACAGAAAAGCUAAAUCAUGUAGCAAAAAGAUAAAUCAUGUUGGGAAAACACUGUAUUUUUUGUCACAAAACAUUAUGGAUUACUACAAAUCAUUUCAUUCAGUUUUUAAGUUUUUGAUUACUAAUACAACUUUUUUUUCUGUUAUAAAAUAUUUUUAAUUUUUAUUAUUUAUAUAAUAUUUAUUUAUAAUUAUAAUAUUACUAAUACAACUUUUUUUUCUGUUAUAAAAUAUUUUUAAUUUUUAUUAUUUAUCUAAUAUUUAUUUAUAAUUAUAAUAUUUAUUUUAUAAACCCACGAUCAUGCCGUAGACAGAGAUUUUCUAUUUUAUCUAACGUCUAACAUACACGAAACAAAAUCGAUACACAUUAAAUACAAAAUAUGGAGUCCGGCCCAUGUCUAAUUCAGUCCAGUCAAAUUAACUACCUCAUUAACCAUUUAACUAAAAGUAUCUAACAUCACACGUGGUGUUGGUGGCGCGUGGGGGUAACAGCUUGAUUAUAAAUUUGUCGGUUGGCACUUAGCAACUUCUAGACGUUAGUUACUCGCUCACCUCUACCUCUUUCUCUGUACUUAAUUUCUCUCUCCCUGGUUAACUAGCUAAUCAUCUCAGGUAUGCAAACCUAAUCCAAUAUUUUUAUUUUCAUUUUUUUGAUAAUCACUUGAUUCUUUCUGAUUACACGUAAAUUUCGAGUUCAUUAUUUUCUAAUGUUUUCUGAUGAAUUAAUGAAUUGUUGUCUUUUUUUUAUUACAAAUAAUCCCCCAAGUAUCAAGAAAUGCAUGUCGAUCAAUUCUUUUCAUGGGUUAUUUCCACUUGUUAGAUAGCCUGGUAAUAUGGGCGUUUCUUUAAUUUUUCUUUACCUUGGAAAUAUGUUUUGAAGAUUUGAAGAGAUUUGAAGAUUUAUGCAUGACUGUAGACUAAUCUAUUCUAGAAAUUCAUGUUAACAGUUCAAGGAAGAGCAUCUAAUGAUUUUUUGUUGUGCUAUUGGGAUGUGAGGGAGGGGCCGCUGGAGGUUAUGGACCUUAGGAUUGCAAGAUAUGGCUAGGCUGAAUGGAAAUGAUAAUGCAUAGUGUCUUAUUCUGAUAUUUUUCUUAUCUUAACUAUCCUUUAAAAACUUGCCUUUUCUGUGUAUAUAAUUGCAUCAUCUCUAUAAGGUGUUGAAGGGAGCAAUGAUGAUUUCUAGAAACAAAAAUUGGCUGUGUUAGAAUAUGUGCUAAGAUUUUAUAUAAUACCUCCUCAAUCAGGUCAACUUAUAUCUAGCUUGCACAUUGUAAAACUUCACCAUGUAUCCCGGUGGUUACACUGCUGAGGUUACAAGCUUAUCUCCUAAAGCAGAAGAGAAGGAUGUGUACGAAUUUUUUUCUCACUGUGGUGCUAUUGAGCAUGUUGAAAUCAUCAGGUAAUAUGCGGCCACCGAGCUUCUUGCUUGCAAAUUAUGAAUUUACUCCUAAGAGCAAUUUCCAUCAGAGUAUAUUUACAAAUCAUCAGUAUAUUUAUGCCAUUAUAUACUUGAAAAACUGAUUAGUGAAUGCUUCUUUUGUAAAAGGUCAAAAAAUGAAAUGCAUAUGUUUUACCCUUUCAAUGAAUCAGUGGUUUAGAUAGAUAGAUUGAUAAUAUUAAUUUAUGACAUGUUUGGAGUCUAACUCCAUCCCUAAAAUAAUUGCAAUUCCUUUGCUAGAGGAUUCCAAUAAUUGUCCUUUCCAUUGAACCAAGAUUGGUAUGUUUAAAGACCUCUAAUGCAGUCUCUGAAAUUGAAUUGCUUCUUGAACAAAAAUUGAAAUUAAGGUUUGAAUUCCUCAUGUGUUUCUCAUAAAAGCUUUUCCAUUAUUCAGUAUUCAUUCCUCUGCAUUUCUUUAUUUAUUCGGUAUUGUCUAUUUCCAUUAUUUGGUAAUCGUUCCUCUGUAUUUCUUUAUUCAUCUGAUAAACUAGGAAUGUAUUUUCCCACGCUUUUUGUCACAAAAUAUGAGGUCAAACAUUACUAUCUACAAUCAUUUAAUGUAUUCUUAGUUGCUCACUUAUUUUUCUAUAUUUAAGUAUAAAAUAUUAUGGAAAAGAGGCAUUUGAUGAGAUGUCAACAUUCUGUUCUGGUAACAAUUACAAAUAACAGGAACUUGCACAUAUCAAGAGAUGAGUCAAAGGGUGUUGAUAGGCCAGUGUUAAGUGCUAUCCCUAUGUUUCUUGGAUUGUUGUACUCUUGCCUAGCAGCUUUUGGUUCUGGAGCCUGCAUUAUGUUUGCACAAUCAAAUCACACACAUCUAUUCAUUGUUAUUUUUCCUUGGUCAUAAACUGUAUUUGACUCGAGGAAUGCUUACUCUGAAAACAGAUCCGGUGAAUAUGCUUGUACUGCAUACGUAACAUUUAAAGAUGCCUACGGUCUUCAAACUGCUAUCCUGCUCAGUGCAAGUUUCUGCUCUCACUUCUGGCAAUAAAAAUAGUUACUUGAUAUAGUUGGGGGGAAAAAAAAAAGUUUGUGAGCCAUUUUGUUUAAGCUACCCUCAUAGCUAUUUUCCUCGUCAAGUUACUUUCUAAGACUUCAAGAUGGGAAAUUUCAACUUUCCUCUGUUAUUAUUGUGAUAAAGAUUUUUUUUUUUCAAUGGAUAUGAUGACAAUGUCACUCUACCCAUGUCUGAACUCUGAAUAAGUUGGAAGUUUUGACCUCAAAUAAGUUAUCUCAAUAUCUUAAUAUUUGGAUUUGAACAACCAGCUCAAAUAUAGCCUGACAUAAGUUGGAAGUUCACAGUUCUGCUUCAAAGUAUGACCUUAUGUGGAAUCAUAAAUCUGAAUGACCAUUGAACUAGAAGUUCAUCAUUACCUCUUAAGAAAACGUUUUUGGAUUGCCUCUAUAUUUUAAUCACUCAAAACUGUUUAUAAUUCUCUUUUAAUUGGUGUUUAUGAGAUCAUCAUUAGGAUUUCAGCUAAUGAUUUCACAUGCUUACUGAUGGCAAAUUGCUCGUUAGUUUUCCUUUUCUGAGAAAAAAUCAUUUUGAAGGCUACCUUUUUAGCUACAGAAUAAACUUGAAUGAAUUUCUUUUGUUUUGUAUUGUAUCGAACUUCAGCUUUCAGCUGAAUGAUCCAAUAGCCAUCAUGAACACCUACUUGGUUCUUUGGCCUAGCUAUCUGACAUUUUCUUAGUGAUUAAUCUGACAUUUUCUUAGUGAUUAAUAGAUUUAUUUUGCUCUAAUUUUAUGUUUUAG
Molecule: long non-coding RNA, 13707 nt
Filed under: Populus trichocarpa (black cottonwood)
Lineage: Eukaryota; Viridiplantae; Streptophyta; Magnoliopsida; Malpighiales; Salicaceae
Description: long non-coding RNA (PTRI_LNC003835)
Source: RNAcentral